This 253-nucleotide ribosomal RNA is filed under the name uncultured bacterium. RNAcentral describes it as "partial 16S ribosomal RNA". It matches the Rfam family "Bacterial small subunit ribosomal RNA", at positions 524 to 776 of the family's 1533-position model. The record is from RNAcentral.
UACAGAGACCUCAAGCAUUAUCCGGAUUUAUUGGGCGUAAAGCGUCCGCAGGUUGUUCAGUGUGUCAGAGGUUAAAACUCAACGCUUAACGUUGAGAUUGCCUUUGAAACUGCUGAACUAGAGGGUGGAAGAGGUAAGCGGAAUUCUCGGUGUAGUCGUAAUAAGCGUUGAUAUCGAGAAGAACACCAAAUGCGAAGGCAGCUUACUGGUACACACCUGACACUCAGGGACGAAAGCGUGGGGAGCAAACAGG